UUAAGCGACUAAGCGUACACGGUGGAUGCCCUGGCAGUCAGAGGCGAUGAAGGACGUGCUAAUCUGCGAAAAGCGUCGGUAAGGUGAUAUGAACCGUUAUAACCGGCGAUGUCCGAAUGGGGAAACCCAGUGUGUUUCGACACACUAUCAUUAACUGAAUCCAUAGGUUAAUGAGGCGAACCGGGGGAACUGAAACAUCUAAGUACCCCGAGGAAAAGAAAUCAACCGAGAUUCCCCCAGUAGCGGCGAGCGAACGGGGAGGAGCCCAGAGCCUGAAUCAGUGUGUGUGUUAGUGGAAGCGUCUGGAAAGGCGUGCGAUACAGGGUGACAGCCCCGUACACAAAAAUGCACAUGCUGUGAGCUCGAAGAGUAGGGCGGGACACGUGGUAUCCUGUCUGAAUAUGGGGGGACCAUCCUCCAAGGCUAAAUACUCCUGACUGACCGAUAGUGAACCAGUACCGUGAGGGAAAGGCGAAAAGAACCCCGGCGAGGGGAGUGAAAAAGAACCUGAAACCGUGUACGUACAAGCAGUGGGAGCCCUGAUUUAUCAGGGUGACUGCGUACCUUUUGUAUAAUGGGUCAGCGACUUAUAUUCUGUAGCAAGGUUAACCGAAUAGGGGAGCCGGAGGGAAACCGAGUCUUAACUGGGCGUUAAGUUGCAGGGUAUAGACCCGAAACCCGGUGAUCUAGCCAUGGGCAGGUUGAAGGUUGGGUAACACUAACUGGAGGACCGAACCGACUAAUGUUGAAAAAUUAGCGGAUGACUUGUGGCUGGGGGUGAAAGGCCAAUCAAACCGGGAGAUAGCUGGUUCUCCCCGAAAGCUAUUUAGGUAGCGCCUCGUGAAUUCAUCUCCGGGGGUAGAGCACUGUUUCGGCAAGGGGGUCAUCCCGACUUACCAACCCGAUGCAAACUGCGAAUACCGGAGAAUGUUAUCACGGGAGACACACGGCGGGUGCUAACGUCCGUCGUGAAGAGGGAAACAACCCAGACCGCCAGCUAAGGUCCCAAAGUCAUGGUUAAGUGGGAAACGAUGUGGGAAGGCCCAGACAGCCAGGAUGUUGGCUUAGAAGCAGCCAUCAUUUAAAGAAAGCGUAAUAGCUCACUGGUCGAGUCGGCCUGCGCGGAAGAUGUAACGGGGCUAAACCAUGCACCGAAGCUGCGGCAGCGACACUGUGUGUUGUUGGGUAGGGGAGCGUUCUGUAAGCCUGUGAAGGUGUGCUGUGAAGCAUGCUGGAGGUAUCAGAAGUGCGAAUGCUGACAUAAGUAACGAUAAAGCGGGUGAAAAGCCCGCUCGCCGGAAGACCAAGGGUUCCUGUCCAACGUUAAUCGGGGCAGGGUGAGUCGACCCCUAAGGCGAGGCCGAAAGGCGUAGUCGAUGGGAAACAGGUUAAUAUUCCUGUACUUGGUGUUACUGCGAAGGGGGGACGGAGAAGGCUAUGUUGGCCGGGCGACGGUUGUCCCGGUUUAAGCGUGUAGGCUGGUUUUCCAGGCAAAUCCGGAGAAUCAAGGCUGAGGCGUGAUGACGAGGCACUACGGUGCUGAAGCAACAAAUGCCCUGCUUCCAGGAAAAGCCUCUAAGCAUCAGGUAACAUCAAAUCGUACCCCAAACCGACACAGGUGGUCAGGUAGAGAAUACCAAGGCGCUUGAGAGAACUCGGGUGAAGGAACUAGGCAAAAUGGUGCCGUAACUUCGGGAGAAGGCACGCUGAUAUGUAGGUGAAGCGACUUGCUCGUGGAGCUGAAAUCAGUCGAAGAUACCAGCUGGCUGCAACUGUUUAUUAAAAACACAGCACUGUGCAAACACGAAAGUGGACGUAUACGGUGUGACGCCUGCCCGGUGCCGGAAGGUUAAUUGAUGGGGUCAGCGCAAGCGAAGCUCUUGAUCGAAGCCCCGGUAAACGGCGGCCGUAACUAUAACGGUCCUAAGGUAGCGAAAUUCCUUGUCGGGUAAGUUCCGACCUGCACGAAUGGCGUAAUGAUGGCCAGGCUGUCUCCACCCGAGACUCAGUGAAAUUGAACUCGCUGUGAAGAUGCAGUGUACCCGCGGCAAGACGGAAAGACCCCGUGAACCUUUACUAUAGCUUGACACUGAACACUGGUCCUUGAUGUGUAGGAUAGGUGGGAGGCUUUGAAGUGUGGACGCCAGUCUGCAUGGAGCCGUCCUUGAAAUACCACCCUUUAAUGGCUGGUGUUCUAACGUGGGCCCGUAAUCCGGGUUGCGGACAGUGUCUGGUGGGUAGUUUGACUGGGGCGGUCUCCUCCUAAAGAGUAACGGAGGAGCACGAAGGUUGGCUAAUCCUGGUCGGACAUCAGGAGGUUAGUGCAAUGGCAUAAGCCAGCUUGACUGCGAGCGUGACGGCGCGAGCAGGUGCGAAAGCAGGUCAUAGUGAUCCGGUGGUUCUGAAUGGAAGGGCCAUCGCUCAACGGAUAAAAGGUACUCCGGGGAUAACAGGCUGAUACCGCCCAAGAGUUCAUAUCGACGGCGGUGUUUGGCACCUCGAUGUCGGCUCAUCACAUCCUGGGGCUGAAGUAGGUCCCAAGGGUAUGGCUGUUCGCCAUUUAAAGUGGUACGCGAGCUGGGUUUAGAACGUCGUGAGACAGUUCGGUCCCUAUCUGCCGUGGGCGCUGGAGAACUGAGGGGGGCUGCUCCUAGUACGAGAGGACCGGAGUGGACGCAUCACUGGUGUUCGGGUUGUCAUGCCAAUGGCACUGCCCGGUAGCUAAAUGCGGAAGAGAUAAGUGCUGAAAGCAUCUAAGCACGAAACUUGCCCCGAGAUGAGUUCUCCCUGAGACUUUAAGUCUCCUGAAGGAACGUUGAAGACGACGACGUUGAUAGGCCGGGUGUGUAAGCGCAGCGAUGCGUUGAGCUAACCGGUACUAAUGAACCGUGAGGCUUAACCUU
RNAcentral lists this ribosomal RNA (2903 nucleotides) under Escherichia albertii. Its description in RNAcentral is "bacterial LSU rRNA". It matches the Rfam family "Bacterial large subunit ribosomal RNA". The record is from RNAcentral. Lineage: Bacteria; Pseudomonadati; Pseudomonadota; Gammaproteobacteria; Enterobacterales; Enterobacteriaceae.